AGAAAUUAGAGAUUUAACCGGAGAUUUGCAAUUGACUGAGUCUUGAUCCUGAUGAUGUUGUGGCACUUAAAUCAAGCAAAAAUCAGCCACAUUUCCACAAAUCAUGGCUGGUCACCCUUUGAUGAAUUUGCAAAAGAUGGACACUCCUAUUUUUAGUAAACUAGCUCCCUUGCCUCACCUAUAAACAAGACCCCAUUUCAUACUUUUUUAAUCAUCCCUCAUCCCUCAAUCAACCCUCAUUCAUUCA
Molecule: long non-coding RNA, 247 nt
Filed under: Gossypium barbadense (sea-island cotton)
Lineage: Eukaryota; Viridiplantae; Streptophyta; Magnoliopsida; Malvales; Malvaceae
Description: long non-coding RNA (GBAR_LNC005593)
Source: RNAcentral